RNAcentral lists this ribosomal RNA (423 nucleotides) under Lyonsia floridana. RNAcentral's name for it is "partial 16S ribosomal RNA". It matches the Rfam family "Bacterial large subunit ribosomal RNA", at positions 1817 to 2600 of the family's 2925-position model. The record is from RNAcentral. Lineage: Eukaryota; Metazoa; Mollusca; Bivalvia; Lyonsiidae.
GGCCCCCCGACCCUAUGGGGGGUCGGGCCUGCCCGGUGGUUUACUUAACGGCUGCCGUAAUUGGUACAAAGGUAGCAAAAUCUCUUGCCCUUUAAUUGGGGGCGUGUGAACGGUCUGACGGGGGGGCGCUGUCUUGGGGUGGGGUAACGAAAUUUACCUUUAGGUGAAAAGGCCUAAAUUUCAAGGCUGGACGAGAAGACCCCGCGAACUUUACCGAAAGGUUUGGUUGGGGCAACCCUGCGCAUGCAUGAUGACAUAGAUCCACACAGCGUGAAUCUGGAAAAAGUUACCGCGGGGAUAACAGCGCAAUUCGCCUUGAUAGCUCGCAUUGACGGGUGAGUUUGCGACCUCGAUGUUGAAUUAGGGUAUCCUAAGGGCGUAGAGGCUCUUAUGGUUGGUCUGUUCGACCAAUAAAAUCCUACA